UUAAUGGCAGCAUUGAGCUCCUCGAUCUGAUCCCGUAGUUGCUGGGCCUCCUCCUGCAUGGCCGCCCGCUCCUGCUGCAGCAUGGCGAUGUACUCGGCCGUCUUCUGCAGUGUGGUUGCUUUGCUCACCUGCAGGCAUCCCCAGUGAGGCUCAGGUGCUGGAGGUGGCCCCACUCUGAGGCCCACUGAGGAGGAAACUGGGUGUCUGGGGGGCCCUGGGGCUUGGUCCUGGUCAGGGGGUCUACGAAGGAGCCCUGUGGUUCCGGGGGUGCCGGCCCAGGCUGGAGGCUCACCUUGAGGCUGGGCUGGGCGCUGAGUGUGCUCACCAGCCCGUGCAGGGUGUCAAACCCCAGCUUGAUAUUGAAGCGCCUCUUCUGCUCUGCAGAGAUGUGUGUGAUGCGCCGGUUCUCAGUCUUGGGGAGGCAGACAGGGGGGUGAGCCUAGGAAGGAGCAUGGAAGGGCCUGGGGGUAGCAAACAGAUCUUGGGGUGAGGGAAUGGUGCCACCUUGUUGUUGUCUGGACGACCCCGGCUUAGGAUGGGUUGAGGGGGAGAGACGCAGACACUCAGGGUCCCCGGGCCUGGAAUGGAGUUGAGUUCCCCAGACAGCCUCCGCUCACCACCUGUGGCGGGGAAAGACAGACCCCCAGACAGACCGACACGGGAGAGGGGUCCCAUUGCCCCUUCCCUCUCAUCCUGGCCUCAGAUGUGGGCGCUCCUUCUUCCUUUCCCUUUCUCCAUCCCCUAGGGACCCCCCUCCCGGAUCCCUGCAAGCCCUCUUUACCGCUGUGUGCUGGGGGCGAGAGCCGCUCCGCUUUGGGGACAAUCAGGGGCCUGGGAGGUGCCAGUGUGGUUGGGCCUGGAGGGGGCCGGGGUGGUGUGGGGGCCGGGGUCGGGGGUAGGAAGGUGCAGGGGAAUUCAGGGGCCGUCUCCUGCAGGGGUGGAGAAGGGCAGAGAGUUGGGGUGAAGCCCUGGGCUCACCCUCACCUCCCAGUGCCUGCCAUCUUACCGGGGACCCUGAGGGCCGGAGGAGGGUGCUGGAUACGAGUGGUGGUUCCAGGGCUUGCUCAGGCUUGGCUGUGCACAGGCAGAACUGUGAGGGACACUGGGGACAGCCCUAGCCCCGUCAUCUCCCAAGACCCCAUCCCUCCCCUCCAGAUAGCUCACUCCCCUUUCGGGUUUGGGGCCCAUGUCCCUAAUUCCUCGCCACCUCCCCCACAGCUGAGCCCACCCCUUACCACUUCACCCUCUGCUCCCACAGGCUUCCCACUUCCCCUCUGAGGACAGUGCUCUUCCCAUCUCACCUGCUGUGAGCAGCUGUGUGAGGCAGGGGUUGUUGCCCCCUGCUGGGGUAGUGGGGUUGGCGGUGGCAGGGGCCAAGGUUGGGGGGCUGGGCUUCUCCCCUCUAGGGGAUGGGGCGGGGGGCUUGCCUCUGGACCUCAUGCCUUGGGGCACUGUGAAGUGAGGCCCAAAUUGGGGCUCCAGAUACCCUGAGGGUAGAAGGUCUAUGGGGAAGGGAGCAGGGGCAGGGCCUGGACCAGGCUGGGGGGUAGGUGGGAAGGCAGUGGGAGCCGGCAGUGGGGACACUCCUGGGGCAGGAGGGACAGUAGAGAAGGGGAAUCUAGGAGAGAAGAGAGGCUCUUCCUGCAGCAAAGCAGGGGGAGGAGCCAUGGGAGGGAAGGCGGGUGGGGGACAGGGCUCUAGACCAGGCUCCUUGGGAAGGGCAGGGUAUUGGAAGAGGGGUGGGGGUGCUGGAGGGGGUGGGAGCUUGGGCUUGGGGUCUUCAGGAAGGAGGAAAUCAGAGUUCAGGAAGGCACUGGAGUCCAGGGUGCCAGGGCAGCUGCUCCGAGCCUGGUUGGGGGACAGAGAGAGAGCAGGGGAGAAAGCUGGCCUUUGCAGCCACCCAGGCAGGCUCUUGCCCUGGCUGAGGUCUGGACUGGGCACUGGGAGAGAGAGGAGAAAUGAUCGCUGUUGUCCCCCCACCUACACACACCAAAGGAAAUUGUAACCUAAUGAGGGGAGGGAGUGGAACACAAUUAGGCACACAUUAGGUGUAAGAAAGAGCAUCAAUCUUCCUGCCCAUCUUUUCAUUCACCAAAUAAUGAUUCCAUCCUACCACCAAUCCAUUCGUUCUCCAUUCCCCUAUUUGGCCUCUCACCUGUGAGCUAACUCAUCUAUCUCUCCACCAACCUGUGAGGUAUAAACCCAUUCACCAAUCCAUCCAACCCAUUCAUCCACCAACCCAUCCAGACAUAAUCCGUCCACCUAUCCACCAUGUGUUCAUUGACCAGCCACUUAUCCAGCCACCACCCUAUUCAUCUACAAGUCCAUCCACCAGCACAUGCAUCCAACCAACCACUCGCUUACCCAUGUAAGCAUCCACCCCCAUCUACAACCCGUGUAUCCAUUCACCAACACACCCAUCCAUUCACACAUUCACUCAUUCACUUAGUGGCUCAACCAUUGGGCAACCAUUGACCCUAUGCUUCUUGAACUGUGGUAGGUAUGGAAGAUGCAGCGGUGAGCAAGGCCUAGCUCUUCCAGUAAGGAGCUCACGGUCUGGUUGAGGAGAGAGACCUCUCAGCAAUGAACUACACUAGUGCCGGAACAGUCUGAUGACAGAGGGACCUGGCAGCAGAGCGGCAACCACCGAAUUGAGCCUGUGCAGGCCCUUACCAUCCUCGGGGCGCAGCUGCAGGGGCGUGGAGCUGGGCUGAGUCAUGGUGAAGAGCGUGUCGGAGAUGUCGGACAAAAAGCAGUCCAGGUCCAGAAGCUGCCGCCCGCCAGGCUCCUCCUCUGGGCCCCCGAGCAGCACGGGCACCACGCUGGAGAAGAGGUGCUCGCACCAUCGCUCCGGUGGUUGCCAACCCCCUUCCGCCUAGGGAGACAGAACCUUCAGCAGCCACGAGAGAGGGACCCCGGGGUCUCCCGCUGCCCUUGGCCCUUUCAUAUGGCCCCCACCUGGGGGAUGAAGUGGUCAGUACAUGGCCCUCCUCACCUCUCUCUCUGGAGGAUCCAGUUUGCCUACUGGAAGGCUUAUGGUCACCCCAUUGGCCUUUAACAACUGUCUCCACGAGCUAGACCUGGAUGGCCUGCUGAACAGAUAAGGGGCCUCUUCCUGUCCCCUAUACUUUUUCUGCCUGGAACCUCAGUUCUUAGGGACUUCGUUCCCCGAUGCCUCCCACCACCUCGCUCAAGGACUUCCCACCCCUCAGGAGGAGAAGGGCUCAAUCAACCAGAGGACGGCGGCCACGCCCACUGCUCCCAUCGGGUCCCGCCCUCAUCUCCUAGAAGCUGUCAAUUCUCUGGGUCCAGGGAGCACCCACCUGCUUUGGGGUCAGGAGAUCCCCUUCCCUGCUGCACUUACGGAGCUGCAGGAACACACGGAGGUGGACAAUGGAUCCCUUGUCCCUCUUCCAUCACUUCCCGCCAAGGCCUCCCCUACUCACAAGCUCCCCCAGAUGAGAGGGAUGCCGAUUUCCCCUCUGGAGCUCCUCCGCGCUGGGAGAUGAGUGAGCUCCAGCUAAGGAGGCUACGGACUCUCCCAAGGUCACACAGCUGGGGCAUCCUAGAACUUGACUCAACCCGCCUCUGUCUGACACAGAACGUGGGGUGCUUCCAGCAACUCGUGCAAUAGCUGGAGACCAGGGUCUGCCUGUCUGGGUGAGGGCCCUGGGUGGCACCAGAAAUGUCUUCUGCAGAGAGAAGGAUCUGCAUCCCAUCCAGCUUUGUGGGGAAGAGUGGAGAGCGCAGAGGUGUGUGGAGGGGUGGGCAGUGACUCCCUCUGGCCUAUCAGCUUCCUGGUCUGAGUAGGGCCCAUCCUAUGUGU
This is a long non-coding RNA of Acinonyx jubatus (cheetah), 3826 nucleotides long. RefSeq lists it as uncharacterized. The record is from RefSeq and is a predicted model, not a curated record. The transcript is spliced from 3 exons. Lineage: Eukaryota; Metazoa; Chordata; Mammalia; Carnivora; Felidae.